This is a non-coding RNA of Pelobates cultripes (western spadefoot toad), 253 nucleotides long. The record is from the annotation of a GenBank genome assembly. NCBI's taxonomy places the organism in Eukaryota, Metazoa, Chordata, Amphibia, Anura, Pelobatidae.
GGUGAAUGUCACAAUACGGUUUGCUUUUACUGCAAUAAAAUGCACAUAUUUGUAUUCAGCGAUGUCUCAUGCGUAAAACAGUACCCCCUAUGUACAGGUUUUAUGAGGUUUUGGGAAGUUACAGGGUCAAAUAUAGCACGUUACAUUUUUCCGUUUAUACACAUUGAAAUUUGCCAGAUUAGUUAUGUUGCAGAGACCGUAUGGUAGCCCAGGAAUGAGAAUAACCCCCAUGAUGGCAUACCAUUUGCAAUAG